RNAcentral lists this ribosomal RNA (500 nucleotides) under uncultured bacterium. RNAcentral's name for it is "partial 16S ribosomal RNA". It matches the Rfam family "Bacterial small subunit ribosomal RNA", at positions 30 to 523 of the family's 1533-position model. The record is from RNAcentral.
AUUGAACGCUGGCGGAAUGCUUUACACAUGCAAGUCGAACGGCAGCACGGACUUCGGUCUGGUGGCGAGUGGCGAACGGGUGAGUAACAUAUCGGAACGUAUCCAAUAAUGGGGGAUAACGAGUCGAAAGAUUCGCUAAUACCGCAUACGCCCUACGGGGGAAAGCUGGGGACCUUCGGGCCUGGCGUUAAUGGAGCGGCCGAUAUCUGAUUAGCUAGUUGGUGAGGUAAAGGCUCACCAAGGCGACGAUCAGUAGCUGGUCUGAGAGGACGACCAGCCACACGGGGACUGGGACACGGUCCAGACUCCUACGGGAGGCAGCAGUGGGGAAUUUUGGACAAUGGGCGCAAGCCUGAUCCAGCCAUUCCGCGUGAGUGAAGAAGGCCUUCGGGUUGUAAAGCUCUUUCGCAAGGGAAGAAAACUUAGCCACUGACAUUGGUUGAGGUUGACGGUACCUUGAUAAGAAGCACCGGCUAACUACGUGCCAGCCGCCGCGGUAA